RNAcentral lists this ribosomal RNA (446 nucleotides) under uncultured bacterium. RNAcentral's name for it is "partial 16S ribosomal RNA". It matches the Rfam family "Bacterial small subunit ribosomal RNA", at positions 338 to 795 of the family's 1533-position model. The record is from RNAcentral.
CCUACGGGAGGCAGCAGUCGAGAAUCAUUCACAAUGGGGGAAACCCUGAUGGUGCGACGCCGCGUGGGGGAAUGAAGGUCUUCGGAUUGUAAACCCCUGUCAUGUGGGAGCAAAUUAAAAAGAUAGUACCACAAGAGGAAGAGACGGCUAACUCUGUGCCAGCAGCCGCGGUACUACAGAGGUCUCAAGCGUUGUUCGGAAUCACUGGGCGUAAAGCGUGCGUAGGCUGUUGCGUAAGUCGUGUGUGAAAGGCGCGGGCUCAACCCGCGGACGGCACAUGAUACUGCGAGACUAGAGUAAUGGAGGGGGAACUGGAAUUCGCGGUGUAGCAGUGAAAUGCGUAGAUAUCGAGAGGAACACUCGUGGCGAAGGCGGGUUCCUGGACAUUAACUGACGCUGAGGCACGAAGGCCAGGGGAGCGAAAGGGAUUAGAUACCCGUGUAGUC